CUUAAUCCAUAGCCAUUUUGAUCAUAAAAGCUUCAUAGAUUAAUUUGCAUUUGUUUUUAUGAUCAAAAUGGCUAUGGAUUAAGCUACACCUUACAAAUGACAUUCUGACACAUCAGUAUCACAAAGAUUAUACAAACCAAAACCAACCUCAUAGGAAACUAUUUAUAUUACAAGCAGCAAUUACAGCAUUGAUAUGGGAAUACGUGCAUAUCAUUCCUAAUCACUUACAACUAAGGUGAAUGCAUGCCAUUAUACAGAGACUCAAUCCAGAAACCCUGUAGCAGGCAAUUUAAGAUUGGUCAAGGAGGUAAAAACUUAAGUUAGCUUGUUAGAAGCUGCUCCUACUGGAAAUGGUAAAUAUCUUCAUUUUCCAUGUCAGCCAGAGAAGUUGCUGCUCCUUCACUUGCCUCGACUAGUUCAGCUUUGGCUUGGUGAUAACGUUCAAGCAUCCGACGAUAUUGUUGACGUGCCUCUAGAGAAUCAACCAUUGACAGCACGCGUGAGACGGCCUCCUCAAUAGCUGCAUCAACUUUUUGUUUGCGGAACACCUUGAGAAUAUCUUCAUCUUCACUUUC
RNAcentral lists this unclassified non-coding RNA (575 nucleotides) under Hevea brasiliensis (rubber tree). The record is from RNAcentral. Lineage: Eukaryota; Viridiplantae; Streptophyta; Magnoliopsida; Malpighiales; Euphorbiaceae.